GGCACCCGGAAAAAUUUAAAUCUGAAUAAAAAAUCCGAAUAUUUUGAAAACUAAACUUUACACAAUACUAGGGAAUCCAUCUUUUUACAAAAUGUAACGUAAGGGCGGAUCGUUCGAUCCUGAGGAAUUCAUCCUUUUACGAAAUGUAACGUAAAGAAGGGUUGUUCGAUACUAGGGAAUUAAUCCCUUUACGAAAUAUAACGCAAAUGCGUUUUGUAGAAUACUAGGGAAUUCAUCUUUCUACGAAAUUUAACGUAAAGGCGGUUUGUUCAAUCCUGAGGAAUUAUUCCUUUUACGAAAUUUAACGUAAAGGUAGUUUCAUCGAUCAUAGGGAAUUCAUCGUAUUGAGAUAUGUAAUGUAAAGGCCG
Bradysia coprophila is the source of this 368-nucleotide long non-coding RNA. The record is from RefSeq and is a predicted model, not a curated record. Lineage: Eukaryota; Metazoa; Arthropoda; Insecta; Diptera; Sciaridae.